Molecule: ribosomal RNA, 273 nt
Filed under: uncultured bacterium
Lineage: Bacteria
Description: partial 16S ribosomal RNA
Rfam family: Bacterial small subunit ribosomal RNA
Source: RNAcentral
UACGUAGGGUGCGAGCGUUAAUCGGAAUUACUGGGCGUAAAGUGUGCGCAGGCGGCGCCGCAAGUCGAGUGUGAAAGCCCCGGGCUUAACUUGGGAAUUGCGCUCGAAACUAUGGUGCUGGAGUGUGGCAGAGGAAGGUGGAAUUCCACGUGUAGCGGUGAAAUGCGUAGAGAUGUGGAGGAACACCGAUGGCGAAGGCAGCCUUCUGGGCCAACACUGACGCUCAUGCACGAAAGCGUGGGGAGCAAACAGGAUUAGAUACCCCCGUAGUCC